Molecule: ribosomal RNA, 253 nt
Filed under: uncultured bacterium
Lineage: Bacteria
Description: partial 16S ribosomal RNA
Rfam family: Bacterial small subunit ribosomal RNA
Source: RNAcentral
UACGUAGGGGGCAAGCGUUGUCCGGAUUUAUUGGGCGUAAAGAGCGUGUAGGCGGUUUGGUAGGUCCGCUGUGAAAACUCGAGGCUCAACCUCGAGACGCCGGUGGAAACCAUCAGGCUAGAGUCCGGAAGAGGAGAGUGGAAUUCCUGGUGUAGCGGUGAAAUGCGCAGAUAUCAGGAAGAACACCCGUGGCUAAGGCGGCUCUCUAGUACGGUACUGACGCUGAUACGCGAAAGCGUGGGGAGCAAACAGG